This 536-nucleotide ribosomal RNA is filed under the name Trigonopterus rutengensis. RNAcentral's name for it is "partial large subunit ribosomal RNA". It matches the Rfam family "Bacterial large subunit ribosomal RNA", at positions 1824 to 2625 of the family's 2925-position model. The record is from RNAcentral. Lineage: Eukaryota; Metazoa; Arthropoda; Insecta; Coleoptera; Curculionidae.
GGCUUGUUGAUUAUUAUUUCAGGUCUGACCUGCCCACUGAUGAAAUUAAAUGGCCGCGGUAUUUUGACCGUGCAAAGGUAGCAUAAUCACUAGUUUUUUAAUUGAAAGCUUGUAUGAAGGGUUUGAUGAAAAAAAGGCUGUCUCUGGGAAAGUUUAUUAAAAUUUUAUUUUUAAGUGAAAAAGCUUAAAUAUUUAUAGAAGACGAGAAGACCCUAUAGAGUUUUAUAAGUAGGUUUAAUAUUGUGUUUAGGUAUACUGUUUUUUUAUUAUUUUUUAUUUAUUUUAUUGGGGUGAUGGGAAAAUUAAUUUAACUUUUCUUUAUUUUUAUACUAAUUUGUAAGUUUAUGAUCCUAUGGUUUAGAUUAGAAGAAUAAAUUACCUUAGGGAUAACAGCGUAAUUUUUCUUAGAGUUCAUAUCGAAAGAAUAGAUUGCGACCUCGAUGUUGGAUUAAAAUUAAUUACUGGUGCAGUAGCUGGUAAAUUAGGUCUGUUCGACCUUUAAAAUUUUACAUGAUCUGAGUUUAAACCGGUGUGAG